AGUAACGCGUGGGUAACCUGCCUCAUACAGGGGGAUAACAGUUGGAAACGGCUGCUAAUACCGCAUAAGCGCACAGUACCGCAUGGUACCGUGUGAAAAACUCCGGUGGUAUGAGAUGGACCCGCGUCUGAUUAGCUAGUUGGUGGGGUAACGGCCUACCAAGGCGACGAUCAGUAGCCGACCUGAGAGGGUGACCGGCCACAUUGGGACUGAGACACGGCCCAA
This 225-nucleotide ribosomal RNA is filed under the name uncultured bacterium. RNAcentral describes it as "partial 16S ribosomal RNA". It matches the Rfam family "Bacterial small subunit ribosomal RNA", at positions 109 to 334 of the family's 1533-position model. The record is from RNAcentral.